Molecule: small nuclear RNA, 107 nt
Organism: Sciurus carolinensis (gray squirrel)
Lineage: Eukaryota; Metazoa; Chordata; Mammalia; Rodentia; Sciuridae
Source: RefSeq, a predicted model, not a curated record
GUGCUCCCUUCAGCAGCACAUACACUAAAACUGGAGCAAUACAGAGAAGAUUAGCGUGGCUGCUGUGCAAGGCUGACACACAAAUUUGUGAAGGGUUCCAUAUUAAA